RNAcentral lists this long non-coding RNA (431 nucleotides) under Salmo salar (Atlantic salmon). RNAcentral describes it as "lncRNA (ENSSSAG00000112781.1)". Lineage: Eukaryota; Metazoa; Chordata; Actinopteri; Salmoniformes; Salmonidae. The record is from RNAcentral.
CCAGCCACUGGCUGAAAAACAUUAGUGCUUUUGGUAAGUGCUCUAUCAGAGGACAAUGGGACUGAGGCGCGUGCACGAGUCGACCCCAUGUUUUUAUUUUCUCUCUCUUUGAAUCUAAACACGCUUUCCCGGUCGGAAUAUUAUCGCUUUUUUACGAGAAAAAUGGCAUAAAAAUUGAUUUUAAACAGCGGUUGACAUGCUUCGAAGUACGGUAAUGGAAUAUUUAGACAUUUUUUGUCACGAAAUGCGUCGUGCGCGUCACCCUUCUUUACCAUUCGGAUAGUGUCUUGAACGCACGAACAAAACAGAGGAUAUUUGAACAUAACUAUGGAUUAUUUUGAACCAAACCAACAUUUGUUAUUGAAGUAGAAGUCCUGGGAGUGCAUUCUGACGAAGAACAGCAAAGGGCUGUGGGGUGAGACAGGGAUGCC